UUGACCUCGGAUCAGGUAGGAAUACCCGAGGAAGCUAAUCAGAG
This 44-nucleotide ribosomal RNA is filed under the name Fusarium oxysporum. Its description in RNAcentral is "partial 28S ribosomal RNA". The record is from RNAcentral. Lineage: Eukaryota; Fungi; Ascomycota; Sordariomycetes; Hypocreales; Nectriaceae.